This 74-nucleotide transfer RNA is filed under the name Prevotellaceae bacterium. RNAcentral's name for it is "tRNA-Pro". It matches the Rfam family "tRNA". From Rfam's summary of the family: Transfer RNA (tRNA) molecules are approximately 80 nucleotides in length. Their secondary structure includes four short double-helical elements and three loops (D, anti-codon, and T loops). Further hydrogen bonds mediate the characteristic L-shaped molecular structure. tRNAs have two regions of fundamental functional importance: the anti-codon, which is responsible for specific mRNA codon recognition, and the 3' end, to which the tRNAs corresponding amino acid is attached (by aminoacyl-tRNA synthetases). tRNAs cope with the degeneracy of the genetic code in two manners: having more than one tRNA (with a specific anti-codon) for a particular amino acid; and 'wobble' base-pairing, i.e. permitting non-standard base-pairing at the 3rd anti-codon position. The record is from RNAcentral. Lineage: Bacteria; Pseudomonadati; Bacteroidota; Bacteroidia; Bacteroidales; Prevotellaceae.
CGGGGUGUGGCGCAGUUGGCUAGCGCGCUACGUUCGGGACGUAGAGGUCGUGUGUUCGAGUCACAUCACCCCGA